Molecule: ribosomal RNA, 392 nt
Filed under: uncultured bacterium
Lineage: Bacteria
Description: bacterial SSU rRNA
Rfam family: Bacterial small subunit ribosomal RNA
Source: RNAcentral
AGUGAACGCUGGCGGCAGGCCUAACACAUGCAAGUCGAGCGGCAGCGCGGGGGCAACCCUGGCGGCGAGCGGCGGACGGGUGAGGAAUACAUCGGAAUCUGCCUUGUUGUGGGGGAUAACGUAGGGAACUUACGCUAAUACCGCAUGAGACCGUAAGGUGAAAGUGGGGGAUCGCAAGACCUCACGCGACAAGAUGAGCCGAUGUCGGAUUAGCUAGUUGGUGAGGUAAAGGCUCACCAAGGCAACGAUCCGUAGCUGGUCUGAGAGGAUGAUCAGCCACACUGGGACUGAGACACGGCCCAGACUCCUACGGGAGGCAGCAGUGGGGAAUAUUGGACAAUGGGCGCAAGCCUGAUCCAGCCAUGCCGCGUGUGUGAAGAAGGCCUUCGGUU